GAAUUAUCAUCUUAGAAUAUCUGGUGAUCUCAAAUCUGAGACAGAUCUAUCCCAGCUCAUAUAGUGAAUUUCAUGUUAAAUUGUGACUUAGAAGUAGCUAGACUGACUAAUGCCUAGUGUUAGAUGUAGGUUUGGAUUUUAUUUCUGUGGAAUCUGGUCCAAGUAACUACUAAUUCCUAAACCUGUUUCCUAUAUGGUGUUGAGGCUUAACUAAGAUAAGAAAAGUACAUUGUAAAAUAACAAGGGGUUAUCUGACAUUCCACAUUUCUAGCAUUUUUAGUUUUUAUUUAAUUGAACCUUUGAAAAAAUUUAGCAAUAAUCCCACAACUGAAGUAGCUUUGUUCAUUUAUACAAUAUAGGUGUUUUUUUUAAACUUUGUACAUCAUAAGUUUAUGGUGCAUAAUAUAUGGGGUCUCUUUGGUUUACCAUAUACUUAAUGGCUACAGAAUAUAGUCUACUCAGUAGAUGGAAAUUCCUAGGAUUUUAAAACACCAUACCAUUUAAGACAAAUAAUCACAAGAUUAAAGGUGCACGGCAAGUUACUGGCAGGAACUAAAAGCCAAGCGCUUAGCUAAUGUUCUUUUGUUUAUCCUGUUCCUCCUUCCCACAAACUAUGUAAUGAGUUAGAAACAGCUCCUGUCCUCAAGAAGCUAAAGGAUAACCAUUUAAGGCUUUGGUAACUUUGACCCUGAAGCUGCUUUGUGAUCCUUUCAUAAUGUAUUGCAAAGUGUGGCUACUUACACUUUUACUUGAUCCACCUCCUUUCUCUUAGACCCUCUCUUCACAUGUAAUGGUUGCUUCUAACAACUGCUCACUGAUGUGACCCUGCUCUGAUCCAGUCUGGCAAACUAGGUGUAUGGAAAAACCAAACCAGAGAUUGAAUUCUGAAGAAACAAACAUUCAACAAUUGCUCUCCCCAAAAAUGAAGCUCCCAGAGACAAAAGAAUGGCAC
This 952-nucleotide long non-coding RNA is filed under the name Bos taurus (domestic cattle). RNAcentral describes it as "long non-coding RNA NONBTAT024543". Lineage: Eukaryota; Metazoa; Chordata; Mammalia; Artiodactyla; Bovidae. The record is from RNAcentral.